This 321-nucleotide long non-coding RNA is filed under the name Vitis vinifera (wine grape). Its description in RNAcentral is "long non-coding RNA (VVIN_LNC004106)". Lineage: Eukaryota; Viridiplantae; Streptophyta; Magnoliopsida; Vitales; Vitaceae. The record is from RNAcentral.
GGCAGAGGAGGAGGUGGAGGAGGAGGAGCAGGUGGAGGUGGUGGUGGAGGUCGAGGUGAGGGUGUUGGAAAUGGGCAUGGGUCUGGAUACGGAAGUGGAUCUGGUUAUGGGUCAGGAUCCGGCGACGGAGGGGAAGAUUCACCAUGAGGCAUAAUCAAGUACGAGUACUACUACUUAAUAACGGCAUCAUUCACCCUGUAAAUUUCAAAUAAAUUUGCCUUGAUCUCGGUAAGACAAAUAAAAAGUUGCCUUCUCCAUGUAAAAUGGUAUAAUGUAAUACCUCCUAAUGAUGAAAUAUCAAACAUGGUUUUUUAGUAUUAA